Molecule: ribosomal RNA, 459 nt
Filed under: uncultured bacterium
Lineage: Bacteria
Description: partial 16S ribosomal RNA
Rfam family: Bacterial small subunit ribosomal RNA
Source: RNAcentral
CCUACGGGAGGCAGCAGUGAGGAAUAUUGGUCAAUGGGCGGAAGCCUGAACCAGCCAAGUAGCGUGCGGGAUGAAGGCCCUACGGGUCGUCAACCGCUUUUGCAUGGGGAUAACACCCUCCACUUGUGGCGGUCUGCAGGUACCGUGCGAAUAAGGGCCGGCUAAUUCCGUGCCAGCAGCCGCGGUAAUCCGGAAGGCCCGAGCGUUGUCCGGAUUCAUUGGGCUUAAAGGGAGCGUAGGCGGGCGUUCAAGUCAGCUGUAAAAUCGCGCGGCUCAACCGCGCCCCGCAGUUGAAACUGGACGCAUUGAGUUAACAACAGGCAGGUGGAAGUCGUGGUGUAGCGGUGAAAUGCAGAGAUAUCACGAGGAACCCCGAUUGCGAAGGCAGCCUGCCGGGGUGCGACUGACGCUGAGGCUCGAAGGUGCGGGUAUCAAACAGGAUUAGAUACCCCUGUAGUC